GGGGGGACGGUUUCCGGAAUUAUUGGGCGUAAGAGCUCGUAGGCGGUUUGUCGCGUCUGCUGUGAAAUCCCGAGGCUCAACCUCGGGUCUGCAGUGGGUACGGGCAGACUAGAGUGCGGUAGGGGAGAUUGGAAUUCCUGGUGUAGCGGUGGAAUGCGCAGAUAUCAGGAGGAACACCGAUGGCGAAGGCAGAUCUCUGGGCCGUAACUGACGCUGAGGAGCGAAAGGGUGGGGAGCAAACAGGCUUAGAUACCCUGGUAGUCCACCCCGUAAACGUUGGGAACUAGUUGUGGGGACCAUUCCACGGUUUCCGUGACGCAGCUAACGCAUUAAGUUCCCCGCCUGGGGAGUACGGCCGCAAGGCUAAAACUCAAAGGAAUUGACGGGGACCCGCACAAGCGGCGGAGCAUGCGGAUUAAUUCGAUGCAACGCGAAGAACCUUACCAAGGCUUGACAUACACCAGAACGGGCCAGAAAUGGUCAACUCUUUGGACACUGGUGAACAGGUGGUGCAUGGUUGUCGUCAGCUCGUGUCGUGAGAUGUUGGGUUAAGUCCCGCAACGAGCGCAACCCUCGUUCUAUGUUGCCAGCACGUAAUGGUGGGAACUCAUGGGAUACUGCCGGGGUCAACUCGGAGGAAGGUGGGGAUGACGUCAAAUCAUCAUGCCCCUUAUGUCUUGGGCUUCACGCAUGCUACAAUGGCCGGUACAAAGGGCUGCAAUACCGUGAGGUGGAGCGAAUCCCAAAAAGCCGGUCCCAGUUCGGAUUGAGGUCUGCAACUCGACCUCAUGAAGUCGGAGUCGCUAGUAAUCGCAGAUCAGCAACGCUGCGGUGAAUACGUUCCCGGGUCUUGUACACACCGCCCGUCAAGUCAUGAAAGUCGGUAACACCUGAAGCCGGUGGCCCAACCCUUGUGGAGGGAGCCGUCGAAGGUGGGAUCGGUAAUAGGAUAUCUAAGGGGAGGGGGGAAAAAAAAAAAAAAAAAAAAAAGG
This 992-nucleotide ribosomal RNA is filed under the name Microbacterium testaceum. RNAcentral describes it as "bacterial SSU rRNA". It matches the Rfam family "Bacterial small subunit ribosomal RNA", at positions 532 to 1533 of the family's 1533-position model. Lineage: Bacteria; Bacillati; Actinomycetota; Actinomycetes; Micrococcales; Microbacteriaceae. The record is from RNAcentral.